AACGAACGCUGGCGGCAGGCCUAACACAUGCAAGUCGAGCGCCCUUUCGGGGGAGCGGCGGACGGGUGAGUAACGCGUGGGAAUAUGCCCUUCUCUACGGAAUAGCCUCGGGAAACUAAGAGUAAUACCGUAUACGCCCUUAGGGGGAAAGAUUUAUCGGGGAAGGAUUAGCCCGCGUUGGAUUAGGUAGUUGGUGGGGUAAUGGCCUACCAAGCCGACGAUCCAUAGCUGGUUUGAGAGGAUGAUCAGCCACCCUGGGACUGAGACACGGCCCAGACUCCUACGGGAGGCAGCAGUGGGGAAUCUUAGACAAUGGGGGCAACCCUGAUCUAGCCAUGCCGCGUGGGUGAUGAAGGCCUUAGGGUUGCAAAGCUCUUUCAGCUGGGAAGAUAAUGACGGUACCAGCAGAAGAAGCCCCGGCUAACUCCGUGCCAGCCGCCGCAGUAA
Molecule: ribosomal RNA, 447 nt
Filed under: uncultured bacterium
Lineage: Bacteria
Description: partial 16S ribosomal RNA
Rfam family: Bacterial small subunit ribosomal RNA
Source: RNAcentral